This is a long non-coding RNA of Eurytemora carolleeae, 309 nucleotides long. RefSeq lists it as uncharacterized. The transcript is spliced from 5 exons. NCBI's taxonomy places the organism in Eukaryota, Metazoa, Arthropoda, Copepoda, Calanoida, Temoridae. The record is from RefSeq and is a predicted model, not a curated record.
UGUCAUCUCUAGAUCCAUUCCGGUUAACUGAUGAUGCUAAAGGUGUUUUUAGUUUAAGCAAAAGUCAGGCAAAAAGGGACAAUUCCCAAAUGAGGAACGGAGAGACCGCAGAUUACUCGGUUCCUGAUGAGCGUCCUUUGGUCAUGGUUACUCGAACCUUCUCCCCGUGGGGAGGCAAAUAGUUGAAACUAACCUAACAAAUAUUCAGAGCUGCAGUGGAGGAGGCUGUUAGGCUGAAACAAUCUAAUUCCUAAAUGCAUAUUAUGUCAUUUAAAAUAAAAUAUUGAAUAAUAGAUAUUAAGAUAUGUG